RNAcentral lists this ribosomal RNA (312 nucleotides) under Augacephalus junodi. RNAcentral's name for it is "partial 12S ribosomal RNA". The record is from RNAcentral. Lineage: Eukaryota; Metazoa; Arthropoda; Arachnida; Araneae; Theraphosidae.
GGGAAGUAGCAAUAAUGGAAAUCCAUGUUCUUGGGCGGCCUUUAACCUUAUCAGAGGAACUGGCAUCUUAAUCCGAUAAUCCGCGUUAUUUUUCACUUUUUUUUAAAGUCUUUAUAUCGCUGUCUUUAGAUAUAAAUCUUAACUUAUAUCUCUAAAAAUCUCUUUUCUACGUCAAGUCGAGAUAAAACCCAUAAAAAAGGGAGCCGAGUUACUUGUACUUUUAUUUAGGUUUAAAUUUCCAAAAAUAUUUAAAUUUAGGAUUUGAAAGUAAUAAACCAAUAAUCUUCUUUUAUGAAAUAGCAUCUUAGGUGU